This 418-nucleotide ribosomal RNA is filed under the name uncultured bacterium. Its description in RNAcentral is "bacterial SSU rRNA". It matches the Rfam family "Bacterial small subunit ribosomal RNA", at positions 355 to 786 of the family's 1533-position model. The record is from RNAcentral.
UGGGGAAUAUUGCACAAUGGGCGAAAGCCUGAUGCAGCAACGCCGCGUGAAGGAAGAAGGGUUUCGGCUCGUAAACUUCUAUCAACAGGGACGAAGGAAGUGACGGUACCUGAAUAAGAAGCCCCGGCUAACUACGUGCCAGCAGCCGCGGUAAUACGUAGGGGGCAAGCGUUAUCCGGAAUUACUGGGUGUAAAGGGUGAGUAGGCGGCAUGGUAAGCCAGAUGUGAAAGCCUUGGGCUUAACCCGAGGAUUGCAUUUGGAACUAUCAAGCUAGAGUACAGGAGAGGAAAGGCGGAAUUCCUAGUGUAGCGGUGAAAUGCGUAGAUAUUAGGAAGAACACCAGUGGCGAAGGCGGCUUUCUGGACUGAAACUGACGCUGAGGCACGAAAGCGUGGGGAGCGAACAGGAUUAGAUACC